This 106-nucleotide microRNA precursor is filed under the name Mustela putorius furo (domestic ferret). RNAcentral's name for it is "miRNA (ENSMPUG00000020647.1)". The record is from RNAcentral. Lineage: Eukaryota; Metazoa; Chordata; Mammalia; Carnivora; Mustelidae.
AGUCAGCCUGUGCUUUGAAACUUUGAGGCUAAGCAUUGACUUCUCUCUAGCUAUGAAAGUCCUAGACGGCAUCAUUUUCCUGUAUAAGACUGUGUUGUCUAUGUUG